Serratia marcescens subsp. marcescens Db11 is the source of this 417-nucleotide non-coding RNA. Lineage: Bacteria; Pseudomonadati; Pseudomonadota; Gammaproteobacteria; Enterobacterales; Yersiniaceae. The record is from Rfam.
AGCUUCUGCAGCUCGCUUUCCAGCGGUUUUAUCAGCAACGAAUUGUUGUUCAGCGCCACUUCACCGGUGGCUCUGACCUGCUCGCCGUCCAGGGGGAUAUCGAGAUGUAAGCGCCCACUGACAUCACCGCCAAUCUGCAGCUGAUCCAGCGCCGCCCCCAGCGAAUCGUGCAACGGUGUCUGCAUGAAGUAGUCAUGUACGUCGCUGCCCGCACCCGCGACUUCGGCGUCGAUCAGCAACCGCUCUUUCAGGUAAUCCGGGAUCACCGCGCUGAUAUUUUUGCCCGCCACCUUGCCCAAGCGGGUUUGCGGCGCAUGCAUCCACAGCCCCUCGUUGGCGAAAUCGAGAUCGAUCGCCAAAUCGGUCAGCGCCGGCCAGCCCGGUUGGAACUGGAAGGUGGCGUGACGCAGCGGUACG